RNAcentral lists this ribosomal RNA (253 nucleotides) under uncultured bacterium. RNAcentral's name for it is "partial 16S ribosomal RNA". It matches the Rfam family "Bacterial small subunit ribosomal RNA", at positions 524 to 776 of the family's 1533-position model. The record is from RNAcentral.
UACGGGGGGGGCAAGCGUUGUUCGGAAUUACUGGGCGUAAAGGGCUCGUAGGUGGCCAACUAAGUCAGACGUGAAAUCCCUCGGCUUAACCGGGGAACUGCGUCUGAUACUGGAUGGCUUGAGUUCGGGAGAGGGAUGCGGAAUUCCAGGUGUAGCGGUGAAAUGCGUAGAUAUCUGGAGGAACACCGGUGGCGAAGGCAGCCCCCUGGGCUAACACUGACGCUCAUGCACGAAAGCGUGGGGAGCAAACAGG